GGGAAUUGGAGGAAGAAGUAUUUGUGACAUUACCGCUAGGCUUUUGUAAGGAGGAAGAAAAAUGUCUAGUAUGCAAGCUAAAGAAAUCACUAUAUGGACUCAAACAAUCACCAAGAGCAUGGUUUGAUAGAUUUGCAAAAGUGUUGAAAAAUCAAGGAUAUCGCCAAGGGCAGUCAGAUCACACUAUGUUCCUGCGGCAGUUUGUAGAUGGUACUAAAACUAUUCUGAUCGUAUACGUUGAUGAUAUCAUUCUGACAGGAGACAACAGAACAGAAAUGGAAAGACUAAAAAUAAGUCUUGCCACUGAAUUUGAAGUAAAGGACUUGGGAAAAAUGCGAUAUUUUCUGGGAAUGGAAGUUGCGAGAUCAAGACGAGGGAUCAGUGUAUCACAACGGAAAUAUGUUCUUGAUCUUCUAAAUGAAACUGGCAUGCUAGGAUGUAAACCAAGUGAUACACCCAUAGAUAUUGGAAGGAAAAAUGGCAAUGAAGGAAAUCCUGUAGACAUAGAAAGAUAUCAAAGAUUGGUUGGAAAACUGAUUUACCUAUCACACACCAGGCCUGACAUAGCAUUUGCGGUUAGUUUGGUAAGUCAGCACAUGCACUCUCCAAAGGAAAGUCACUUAGAAGCUGUCUAUAAGAUACUGAGAUAUCUCAAGGGCUCCUCAGGAAGGGGGCUAUUCUUCAAAAAGGAUGAAAGAAAAGGAGUGGAAGUCUUCACAGACGCAGAUUGGGCCGGAUCAACAGAUGAUAGGAGAUCUACUACAGGUUACUGCACAUUUGUAUGGGGAAAUCUAGUAACCUGGAGGAGCAAGAAACAAAACGUAGUUGCCAGAAGUAGCGCCGAAGCUGAAUUCAGAGCAGUUGCGCAAGGAAUAUGUGAAGGACUAUGGUUAAAGAUGCUCCUAGAAGAACUAUAUGUCACAAUAAGGCCACCAAUCAAACUUUAUUGUGACAACAAAGCAGCUAUCAACAUCUCUCUUAAUCCAGUUCAACAUGAUCGAACAAAACACGUAGAGGUAAACAGACACUUUAUCAAAGAAAAAGUUGAGGAAGGAACCAUUUGCAUGACCUAUGUUCCUACACAAGAACAAACUGCAGAAAUCUUCACCAAGGGACUAUCAAGACAGAAAUUUGAUGAUUUCAUUUUCAAGUUGGAUAUGAU
RNAcentral lists this long non-coding RNA (1162 nucleotides) under Olea europaea subsp. europaea. Lineage: Eukaryota; Viridiplantae; Streptophyta; Magnoliopsida; Lamiales; Oleaceae. The record is from RNAcentral.